UACGGGGGGAGCAAGCGUUGUUCGGAUUUACUGGGCGUAAAGGGCGCGUAGGCGGCCUCCGCAAGUCAGUUGUGAAAUCUCCGAGCUUAACUCGGAAAGGUCAACUGAUACUGCGGGGCUAGAGUGCGGGAGGGGCAACUGGAAUUCUUGGUGUAGCGGUGAAAUGCGUAGAUAUCAAGAGGAACACCUGCGGCGAAGGCGGGUUGCUGGGCCGACACUGACGCUGAGGCGCGAAAGCUAGGGGAGCGAACGGG
This 254-nucleotide ribosomal RNA is filed under the name uncultured bacterium. Its description in RNAcentral is "partial 16S ribosomal RNA". It matches the Rfam family "Bacterial small subunit ribosomal RNA", at positions 524 to 776 of the family's 1533-position model. The record is from RNAcentral.